Molecule: ribosomal RNA, 253 nt
Filed under: uncultured bacterium
Lineage: Bacteria
Description: partial 16S ribosomal RNA
Rfam family: Bacterial small subunit ribosomal RNA
Source: RNAcentral
GACGUAGGAUGCAAGCGUUGUCCGGAUUUAUUGGGCGUAAAGAGUUCGUAGGUGGUUUGUUAAGUCUGAUGUUAAAGACUGGGGCUCAACCUCGGGACUGCAUUGGAUACUGGCAGACUUGAGUGCGGUAGAGGCAAGUGGAAUUCCAGGUGUAGCGGUGAAAUGCGUAGAUAUCUGGAAGAACACCGGUGGCGCAAGCGACUUGCUGGGCCGUAACUGACACUGAGGAGCGAAAGCGUGGGUAGCAAACAGG